RNAcentral lists this long non-coding RNA (213 nucleotides) under Nicotiana benthamiana. RNAcentral's name for it is "long non-coding RNA (NBEN_LNC000868)". The record is from RNAcentral. Lineage: Eukaryota; Viridiplantae; Streptophyta; Magnoliopsida; Solanales; Solanaceae.
ACAUUGCUAAUUAAUAUUAAAAGAUAAAUUUUUUAAAUCGUAUGAAAAUAAUUAAAAAUUACUUAUUUGAAACUGAGGGACUACUAACUAAACAUAUCAAACUCUCAAAAGAUUCUGCAAAGCCAAACAACGUUGACUAAAUGACCAGAUUACUUUGACACUAUUCUACACUUUCUCGUAGUUUUCGGUGCCAUAUUUUAUUCUAAAGAAAAU